RNAcentral lists this ribosomal RNA (253 nucleotides) under uncultured bacterium. RNAcentral's name for it is "partial 16S ribosomal RNA". It matches the Rfam family "Bacterial small subunit ribosomal RNA", at positions 524 to 776 of the family's 1533-position model. The record is from RNAcentral.
UACGGAGGGGGCGAGCGUUGUCCGCAGUUACUGGGCGUAAAGGGCGCGUAGGCGGGAAGCUAAGUCCGCUGUCAAAGCCCGGGGCUCAACCCCGGAAGGUCGGUGGAGACUGGUUUUCUUGAAGCUGCCAGGGGGAGAUGGAAUUACCGGUGUAGCGGUGAAAUGCGUAGAUAUCGGGAAGAACACCCGUGGCGAAGGCGGCUCUCUGGGACGGUACUGACGCUGAGACGCGAAAGCGUGGGGAGCGAACAGG